Molecule: long non-coding RNA, 262 nt
Filed under: Nicotiana tabacum (common tobacco)
Lineage: Eukaryota; Viridiplantae; Streptophyta; Magnoliopsida; Solanales; Solanaceae
Description: long non-coding RNA (NTAB_LNC012797)
Source: RNAcentral
GUACAAUAAAAGGGCCGGCUUAUCUAUGUUAGGAUACGUACAUCGUCGGACUCCUCUUUUUCUUCCUUCUUUUCUUCCUUCUUCUCCUCAGCAGGGGCUGCAGCAGCAGCUCCACCAGUAGGUGCAGCAACUGCAACAGCACCACCACCAGCAGGUACUGAAGCCAACUUUUCUCUGCCGGCAGCAAUCAGCUCAGUGAUGUCUUUUCCCUCCACUUGAGACAAAAGCAGUUUGAUUCUGUCAUCAUCAGCCUCAGCACCAA